GGACCACCACCUUGACACAUAGCUAGGGUUGUCUUCACACAAAAGGGUUCAGUGUGGAAGGCAGGGUGGUGGGAGGAGGGAGGGGUAGGCCAGGCCCGAGCCCACCUCCAUCCCUCUACAGUAGAGGUCUGGCCACAGUCAGGGACAUAUCCACCUACUUGCAUGGAAGAUGGAAGAGAGGCUCUUGCUUACUACUGACCGCUGAGUUCCUCUACAUGCAUUGCCAGAAAUGUCCAGCAGAGGGCGCCUGGCCCUGUGGAUCUUUUUAGAAGACAGCCGCCCCGGUGCCAGCCUGAGAGAGUCCUCAUUCCAGGUUUAUGUGCCCACAAGGUCCAUUCCACCGACUCACUCUGGAAGACUCUUAAACAGAGAGACUAGAGCUGAAUAUGGUGGUACCUGCCUAGAGUUCCAGUACUCAGACACUGCGGCAGAAGCAUCAAGAGUUCAAGGCCGGGCUGGUGAGAUGGCUCAGUGGGUAAGAGCACCCGACUGCUCUUCCAAAGGUCCAGAGUUCAAAUCCCAGCAACCACGUGGUGGCUCACAACCAUCCGUAAUGAGAUCUGACUACCUCUUCUGGAGUGUGUGAAGACAGCUACA
RNAcentral lists this long non-coding RNA (597 nucleotides) under Mus spicilegus (steppe mouse). RNAcentral describes it as "lncRNA (ENSMSIG00000028830.1)". The record is from RNAcentral. Lineage: Eukaryota; Metazoa; Chordata; Mammalia; Rodentia; Muridae.